GACGAACGCUGGCGGCGUGCUUAACACAUGCAAGUCGAACGGAAAGGCCCCUUUGGGGGUACUCGAGUGGCGAACGGGUGAGUAACACGUGAGUAACCUGCCCUUGACUUCGGGAUAACUUCAGGAAACUGGGGCUAAUACCGGAUAGGAAUCCUUGCUGCAUGGUGGGGGUUGGAAAGCUUCGGCGGUUUUGGAUGGACUCGCGGCUUAUCAGCUUGUUGGUGGGGUAGUGGCUUACCAAGGCUUUGACGGGUAGCCGGCCUGAGAGGGCGACCGGCCACAUUGGGACUGAGAUACGGCCCAGACUCCUACGGGAGGCAGCAGUAGGGAAUAUUGCACAAUGGGCGGAAGCCUGAUGCAGCAACGCCGCGUGCGGGAUGACGGCCUUCGGGUUGUAAACCGCUUUCAGCAGGGGCGAAGCUUGUGGUGACGGUACCUGCAGAAGAAGCACCGGCUAACUACGUG
Molecule: ribosomal RNA, 465 nt
Filed under: uncultured bacterium
Lineage: Bacteria
Description: partial 16S ribosomal RNA
Rfam family: Bacterial small subunit ribosomal RNA
Source: RNAcentral